AGAGAGAGAGAGAGAGAGAGAGAGAGAGAGAGAGAGAAAGGCAGAGAAAGGAGCCGAGAGGAGCCUACCAUGCGCUUCCCCCGUGCAAACUGAGGGAGAACCCAAUCACAGGGCGAUCCGGACGGAGCUGUGAUCAUUUAUAAUCCCUGACUCAACCUCUCCACCACUUGUCAAGAUGACAGGGGUGAGCUCCUGGGAAGGCGGCGCAUGGUGGCUCCUCGGAGCACUGAGGUCUAGGGGUGUCGCCUUGCUCCUGUAAAGCACCGAGAACAUCGGCGUGUGUGUUCCCGAGCUACUGUGGAGACAGGAUUGGCCUGGGACUGAGUUAACAGCUUGCUUCCUGCUCCCCUCAGAAAACACUGGGACUGCACGGUCUGUCACCUCGCCGCCUGACUUUCUGUGCAUGGUUUGCAUGUCAGAGCACUCCUGCAGGUCACCCAGGUAGCAGAUUCUCAGCGGAGUCCAGCAGACAACCUCCCGACUUACUAAGUAUCCUUUCCCAUGAUCACAUCUGCUAUAGCAAGCUGGAGUGGCUCUCUGGCUUAGCUAGAAAAGUGUCAGACGCUGCAGCCAGCUCACCGUUUCUACUGCCUGGUUUUACAGACUAAGACCAGCCUGGAAGUUAGAUUCCAGAGAGUCCUGGCAAGUGUGGACCGAGAAUAGUAUUGGGACAAAGCCAGAGCUUUGAGACCGAGUCCUUUCCCGCCAGCCCCCCAAAGAAAAGACUCAGUGAAGCCAGCAAUACGUACCUCUGUGUAACACCCACGAUGAUGGGAACCACUGAGAGAUAAGGCAACUUGCCAAAAAAGAGAUUAGAGAUCAGUGGUAGCUGAGGAAUCCCCCAAGUUCGAGGCACUGGUCAAUGUUGCAGUUAAAAAGUCCCUCCUCAAGGACCAAGGCAUAGAUAUGGAAAAAAUGUGUCCAACCAGAAUACAUUGGAAUGGAAAUCUUUCCCAUAAAGCCCUCACAUUGCUUCAGUUUAUUAUCAUUGUUUAUUUUCUUUUUCAAUGCCAAAAAUAAGUCAAGUUAUUUUCUUUGGCCCUUGAAUUGUCGCAAAACUGUAAAACAAAUAUUCUAAUUUGAUCGCUGACAAAGUCAUAAAAUUAAAUGGUUGUUUGUAGAGGGAAAUAUGUCCUAAUUAAAGCAAGAUUGGACCCUACAUACAUAUAUUCAUUUAGAAGCCACCACAUGCAUUGCCUAUUAUACAAAUCAACCUUUAAAUAGGGUCAUGCCUUUCCACGACAUUAGUUUGUGUUCCACUGCAUAAACCCCAACUACGUGUGAGCCUGACCUUUGGUGAAAAUUAUAUACCGAAGCUCAGUAUAACUGCUGACUUGAUUUGCUAGAACUUUAGAAAAGACCUUUAAAGUCCACACAGGAUUUUGAAUAUAAAGGAAUGUUCUCACAUCUUGCUACUACUUACACUUGCUGCUAUUGAUUGAGGUUCAUUUCUGGGUUUAGAAACCACUAGUUAGCUUCUCCUAAUCAUGUGACACCCAUAAUUAGUCGCUUUUAUGAAGUACCUUUAAAGUAUGGCAUCUGCUCUGCACACAGGAUUUAUCAAGAAGUUUGUUGAGGGCUUAAACUGUUUGUUGUUGAAAAAGGAUUUGCAAACUUGAACUGGGACAAAAAUUUUCUAGAAAUAUAGUUUUAGAGAGCUCACCACAAACCCUCUCCAUAAAGAAGCUUCGAUUUUUCAGGGUAUACUCUAUGAUCUAUCUCUCAGACACAACUGUAAGUUGCCAGACAGACACCAAAUCUUUACAGAAAGAUUUUAAUUAUGUUCAUUUAUUUUUGACUGUUGUUUCAAAAAAAAUUCUUGUAAAGAAAGCUUAUGUUAAUAAACUUCUUAAACUAUUUUGUUACCUUUCCUUCUCUCCACAUAUGCUUAUCCCUACAGUCUUUAACUGGAUUGUUUAAAAAAACCAUCAUUACAAACCUGGACAAUAAACAAUUGUAACUUACUUGAAUUUUCCUAGAAAUGUUAUUUGAAAAAUAGCAACAAAAAUAUGUCUAACUAGUGGGAAAAA
Molecule: long non-coding RNA, 2030 nt
Organism: Dromiciops gliroides (monito del monte)
Lineage: Eukaryota; Metazoa; Chordata; Mammalia; Microbiotheria; Microbiotheriidae
Exons: 3
Source: RefSeq, a predicted model, not a curated record